Molecule: ribosomal RNA, 238 nt
Filed under: uncultured bacterium
Lineage: Bacteria
Description: partial 16S ribosomal RNA
Rfam family: Bacterial small subunit ribosomal RNA
Source: RNAcentral
UACGGAGGGGGUUAGCGUUGUUCGGAAUUACUGGGCGUAAAGCGUACGUAGGCGGAUUAAUAAGUUAGAGGUGAAAUCCCAGGGCUCAACCUGGAACUGCCUUUAAAACUGUUAGUCUUGAGAUCGAGAGAGGUGAGUGGAAUUCCAAGUGUAGAGGUGAAAUUCGUAGAUAUUUGGAGGAACACCAGUGGCGAAGGCGGCUCACUGGCUCGAUACUGACGCUGAGGUACGAAAGUGU